RNAcentral lists this ribosomal RNA (465 nucleotides) under uncultured bacterium. RNAcentral describes it as "partial 16S ribosomal RNA". It matches the Rfam family "Bacterial small subunit ribosomal RNA", at positions 28 to 507 of the family's 1533-position model. The record is from RNAcentral.
GACGAACGCUGGCGGCGUGCUUAACACAUGCAAGUCGAACGGAAAGGCCCUGCUUGCAGGGUACUCGAGUGGCGAACGGGUGAGUAACACGUGGGUGAUCUGCCCUGCACUUCGGGAUAAGCCUGGGAAACUGGGUCUAAUACCGGAUAGGAGCCAUUUUUAGUGUGAUGGUUGGAAAGUUUUUUCGGUGUAGGAUGAGCUCGCGGCCUAUCAGCUUGUUGGUGGGGUAAUGGCCUACCAAGGCGGCGACGGGUAGCCGGCCUGAGAGGGUGGACGGCCACAUGGGGACUGAGAGCCGGCCAAGACCCCGACGGGGGGCAGAGGGGGGGAUGUUGGAAAAAGGGGCGCAGGCUGGAUGCGGCGCGGCCGGGGGGGGGAUGCCGCCGUGGGGUUUGAAACCUCUUUUCGCAAGGGACGAAGCUUUUUGGGACGGACCCUAGAAAAGAAGCCCCGGCUACCUAGGUG